GGGAAGGAAAAGCAGUAUGUGAACCUACUUCAUUCUUUGGACUUGACAUUCUAGAUCUGUUAUCAAUUUUUUAGCGUGCCCUUCUAGAACCGAACAACUGUAGGAUAUAGUUUCAUGUCAUUUUGUUCAAAUUUUUAACCUUUGAUUUUCAGUGACAGAAACUUUGGCCACUCUUUUUACAUUAAGUUGGGUAAGUUCUAAAACAUAUAUGUGGCGAUUCUGCUAGAAGUAUCAAACUAGGCAGUUCUAACAUCUGUGGUUGGUCUUGGAAAUCCGAAGCAUGAAAACACAGUAACAAAUGAUCAUCACGUUGAUGUAAACUAUUGAGAUCUUUGAGUCUUCUCUCAGUGAUGUUUUAAGCUUCAAAUAGGAUUAUUUAUGGAACCACUUUAUGUUAGUUUUCUCAUGCCAGUCAUACAAUUGAGGAAGAAAAAUGAGAAGUACAGACUGUCAAUAUUAAAUUGGACUUGUAUCUCUUUGAAGGACAUUGAAUUUUCCUCCAAGUUGGUUUGAUACAUCAUUGAGCCUUGACGCUGAUAAAAACUGAUUGAAUGGCAGAAAAUAUGACCUUGGUAAUGCGUGUACUCCCCUCAUCAGUAUGGUAAAAUGCACUUAUUUUUUCCUCAAAGAUCACAAACAAUUCUUAAUCUAAGAACUUAUGUGUGAUAUCUAAUAAAUUUUAACUUUUCACAUGUUUCUUUCUUGUUUUAUUUUUACUUUGUACUACCUAAUAGAAGAUCUAGAGAUCUUUGUGAAUCUUUUGGGGAUGUUGAAAGCUUGAAAUUACUUCCUGUUAACCUUAUCACAGUUAUCUCUUCUUUGUAUCUUUUACCCUAGAUUUUUCUGGCUGACCUGGUUAAGUUACCUUGAUACACUGUAAACUAUAUAGUAACAUUUAGCCAUUUACUAAUUAAGUUAAUAGUGUUGUUUGCUUACACAGGAGCUUCUCCAGGAAAGGGUACAGGCGCAACAAUGUCCGAUGAUGAAGAUGAGCAGGUGGAGAGUGAUGCCAAUUUGUUUGAUGGAAGUUUAGAUGGUCAUGAUAGCAUGGGCUUUGGUCUCCCAACAGAGAGUGAGAGGGUUACAAGGAAAAACUUGUGGAUAUAAGGGAGGAAAUUCUUCGAAAGAGAAGGGCAGGAAAACUCCCUGGCGAUACUACCUCCGUCUUGAAAGCUUGGUGGCAAUCACAUUCAAAGUGGCCAUACCCCACUGUAAGCUUUUAAUUCUCAAUUUUCGUGACCUGCAGACUAAUUAAAUAGCAUCAGUUGUACGUUAGCACUCUUGUGAGUACAGAAAUGAUCACAAGAAAAGUAUAAUUCACCCAAACUGAAGCUUUAAUUGGUUCAGGUGAUGAACCCGGAAACACAUUCUUUUGCGCGUGGUGUUUUCUUUUAAGAUAAAUUUUGUGCUAAUAAUUCAAAUGAAUCGUCAUCUAUGACCAGUAACAUGUAAUGCAUCUAGUGGCUUUCACUUGGUAGAUCCAAAAGUUAACUUGGCGUUAGCUAGAAGUUUGAAAAAUUCGUCUAGAUAUAGGCAUAACUUUUUUCUGCUUAUUGAAAUUGUGCUCCUACUGUACUAAAUAGUGACACUGGAUUUUCUUUUGUGGUUAAUUUGUACUUAUGCAAGAGGAAGACAAGGCUAAGCUGGUACAAGAGACAGGCCUUCAGCUAAAGUAGAUAAAUAAUUGGUUCAUCAACCAAAGAAAAAGGAACUGGCACAGUAAUCCUUCCUCUUCUACAGCUUUGAAGAGCAAACACAAGAGGUGAAUCUGAAAUAUUAUCAUUCAAGGGAAGGUAUAGUCAAGUUAUUAGCACGCAAAGCUUCCUUGGAUAAUUUUUGUUCGUGUGUCCAGCUCAAUAAGCAUAUGUGCUGUUGAUGAUACAACACUAUAUACGUAAUAGAUAGAAAUAUGGACUCAUUCAGUUAAAG
This is an RNA transcript of Lycium ferocissimum, 1929 nucleotides long. It is a transcript of the gene named homeobox protein knotted-1-like 3, with no coding region annotated. Lineage: Eukaryota; Viridiplantae; Streptophyta; Magnoliopsida; Solanales; Solanaceae. The record is from RefSeq and is a predicted model, not a curated record. The transcript is spliced from 3 exons.